AGUGAACGCUGGCGGUAGGCCUAACACAUGCAAGCCGAACGGCAGCACAGUAAGAGCUUGCUCUUACGGGUGGCGAGUGGCGGACGGGUGAGGAAUACAUCGGAAUCUACUUUUUCGUGGGGGAUAACGUAGGGAAACUUACGCUAAUACCGCAUACGACCUACGGGUGAAGGCAGGGGAUCUUCGGACCUUGCGCGAUUGAAUGAGCCGAUGUCGGAUUAGCUAGUUGGCGGGGUAAAGGCCCACCAAGGCGACGAUCCGUAGCUGGUCUGAGAGGAUGAUCAGCCACACUGGAACUGAGACACGGUCCAGACUCCGACGGGAGGCAGCAGUGGGGAAUAUUGGACAAUGGGCGCAAGCCUGAUCCAGCCAUACCGCGUGGGUGAAGAAGGCCUUCGGGUUGUAAAGCCCUUUUGUUGGGAAAGAAAAGCAGCAGGUUAAGACCCCGCUGUUCUGACGGUACCCAAAGAAUAAGCACCGGCUAACUUCGU
This 491-nucleotide ribosomal RNA is filed under the name uncultured bacterium. RNAcentral describes it as "partial 16S ribosomal RNA". It matches the Rfam family "Bacterial small subunit ribosomal RNA", at positions 29 to 506 of the family's 1533-position model. The record is from RNAcentral.